AUUGAACGCUGGCGGCAUGCUUUACACAUGCAAGUCGAACGGCAGCGCGGGCUUCGGCCUGGCGGCGAGUGGCGAACGGGUGAGUAAUACAUCGGAACGUGCCCAGUAGUGGGGGAUAGCUCGGCGAAAGCCGGAUUAAUACCGCAUACGACCUGAGGGUGAAAGCGGGGGAUCUUCGGACCUCGCGCUAUUGGAGCGGCCGAUGGCAGAUUAGCUAGUUGGUGGGGUAAAGGCCUACCAAGGCGACGAUCUGUAGCUGGCCUGAGAGGACGACCAGCCACACUGGAGCUGGAACACGGCCCAGACUCCUACGGGAGGCAGCAGUGGGGAAUGUUGGACAAUGGGCGAAAGCCUGAUCCAGCAAUGCCGCGUGUGUGAUGAAGGCCUUCGGGUUGUAAAGCACUUUUGGCGGGAACGAAAAGGACUGUGCCAAUACCACGGUUCGGUGACGGUACCCGCAGAAUAAGCACCGGCUAACUACGUG
Molecule: ribosomal RNA, 484 nt
Filed under: uncultured bacterium
Lineage: Bacteria
Description: partial 16S ribosomal RNA
Rfam family: Bacterial small subunit ribosomal RNA
Source: RNAcentral